RNAcentral lists this ribosomal RNA (465 nucleotides) under Vreelandella stevensii. Its description in RNAcentral is "partial 16S ribosomal RNA". It matches the Rfam family "Bacterial small subunit ribosomal RNA", at positions 338 to 795 of the family's 1533-position model. Lineage: Bacteria; Pseudomonadati; Pseudomonadota; Gammaproteobacteria; Oceanospirillales; Halomonadaceae. The record is from RNAcentral.
CCUACGGGUGGCAGCAGUGGGGAAUAUUGGACAAUGGGCGAAAGCCUGAUCCAGCCAUGCCGCGUGUGUGAAGAAGGCCUUCGGGUUGUAAAGCACUUUCAGUGGGGAAGAAAGCCUUGGGGCUAAUACCCUCGAGGAAGGACAUCACCCACAGAAGAAGCACCGGCUAACUCCGUGCCAGCAGCCGCGGUAAUACGGAGGGUGCGAGCGUUAAUCGGAAUUACUGGGCGUAAAGCGCGCGUAGGCGGUCUGAUAAGCCGGUUGUGAAAGCCCCGGGCUCAACCUGGGAACGGCAUCCGGAACUGUCAGGCUAGAGUGCAGGAGAGGAAGGUAGAAUUCCCGGUGUAGCGGUGAAAUGCGUAGAGAUCGGGAGGAAUACCAGUGGCGAAGGCGACCUUCUGGACUGACACUGACGCUGAGGUGCGAAAGCGUGGGUAGCAAACAGGAUUAGAUACCCUGGUAGUC